UUUGUUAACUGCCUUUCUCCAAACCACUUUUUAAAUUACGAAUUAUACAUGCAAUUUAAUGAGACGGCAAAAACUUAAGGCAACUGAAAAAUAGGCAGAGGAUGUAAAUAGCUAUUUUAUAGGAGCAAUGCACAAGGCAAUGGCCAUAUGCGGUGGGUGUUUAACUUCUUGGAAGAUGAGAAAUUAUAAUUAUCUAGAUGUUUCCAGGACCUGGAGCUGUGAUUCAGUUUGAAUUUCCCCAGAAAUGUCCUUAGCUGGAGACAAGGCUGAGCAAAUGAAAGAUCAUUAAACCAACUUCUCUCUGGUGCCAUGUUGGCAUUCCCAAAGAAGAUUCAUGAUUGGAUUAUGUUCCUGGGCAACAUAAAUCAAACCUGAUGGCAGGGAUAUGUUGAUAGCUUGAAAUCACCUCAGCCCAGAGAAGAGUACUAAAGGGGAAGGAGCUAAUCCACCAGCGUCACCUUUGACUUUGUGCAUCCUAUGGUUGCUAAGCAAAUGCUUACAUGAUGAGUAUGUGCCAACCAAAGAAUGAGAAGAAGAGGAAGAAAGAACAGAGUGAUAUAUGAGACUGGAAAAUAUUUGAAUAUGAGGGAGCAGAUUAUGAAGAGCUGGUGAUUCAGCAGCAAAGAUGUGUUGACCAUGCAAUUUCAUGUGGAUAAAGAACCAAAGGAAGACUGAGAGGAGCUGCAACCCCACAGAAAUACAUUGACAGUUCCCAGUAACUGGGUUAUUUAUGACAGAAGAAUUCACACACACACACUCUCUCUCUCUCUCUCUCUCUCUCUCUCUCUCUCUCUCUCUCUCUCUGAAGUUUGGAGAUCUGUGGUUCUCUACAUUCACCUUUCUUUCACCUGAUGUCAGUCAAAAUGAGAGUCAUCAUUUCACACAAGUGAUGGCCAGAAUAUGUGAUGGCUAGCAUUUAAAUGGAAAAGGAAGACCUUGCCAUCAUAGAACCUGGCUCAUAUGCUUAAAGAAGUCUAAGCUCUGGUUGCUGAAAACAGGCAGCACUUUUUGAAUCUUGUUCGCAGGGAUCAUGGAGGUCAUGCAAAGAUGUGGUCCAGCUGGGGUGGGGUCUGAGACCAAUUAUGGAUGCUGCUGUCUCCACACCACACUCACAUUAGUCUGACUUUUAGAUGUGGUGACAAGGUAUGUGGUGGGAAUGAGUCCCUUAGAAUCAGUGUGACAGAAUUUCACCAGGAGGAUUCUUUCCAUCAGCCUUCUCUGCCCUCAUUCAUACCCAAAGCUGAACUUUUCAGAGUGUAGGCAUCUUUCUCCAUCCUUAGUCAUGUGUGUGUAUCUGUCUGUACAUGUAAAAAUCAGAGGGCAACCUUGGCUUUUAUUCCUUUGGAACCAUACACCUUGUUUUUAUUUUGUUUAUUACUUUUAUUUUGUUUGUUUUCUGAGACCGGUCUCUCACUGGCCUUCAAUAUUCCAAACAGACUAUUCUGGCUGGCUGGUGAGCCUCAAGGAUCUGCCUGCCUCUGCCUCUGCCUCUGCCUCUGC
Mus musculus (house mouse) is the source of this 1500-nucleotide long non-coding RNA. RefSeq annotates it as predicted gene, 33083. NCBI's taxonomy places the organism in Eukaryota, Metazoa, Chordata, Mammalia, Rodentia, Muridae. The record is from RefSeq and is a predicted model, not a curated record. The transcript has 5 exons.